GUAUAUAAGCUUCAGCAGCGGGGCCUCGCGCUCUUUCCUGACCGCUUCUGCAGGUGGACACGCGCUCUGCGGACACAUGCACGUGAAGUUACAGGGCGGGAAAAGAAGGCCGCAGUGCGUGCUAAAGCUGAGGCUGUUCAGCUAGCUUCAGUGUGUUAGCGUGGUGCUGACGGGCCUCGAGCUAACAGCCACGUGGGAAGACUGAAAGAUGGAGAGACCACGUGGGCUGCAGUGUGGCCGCUCUCUGCAUGGCUCUAACAUAACGCUGUGCUGGCUCCGUGUGGCCUGACGUCCUGUGAGGUCAGAAUGGGUUAAUUCCAGACGAUGGCGAGUCGAGACUGAGCUAGGAAAGACUGACAAGGAGCUGUCGAGGAUGAAAGUCUGCCCACUCAAGUGUGAAUGACGGGAAACCAUGCCGCUCUGCCUGUGCACCCACCUGAACCAGCCGACUGACCAAGGUUCACUUCUCGCAGGGGUGGAGCUGGUUCUUACGGACUGCAGCUGCUGAAAUGUUUGUGCUGAUCGCCCUCCUGCAGUCUGACAGAACUGGAUAUGCCAGUGUAUACCUGCAAAGCUUGUGGUGAAGUGUGACUCAUAAGGUGGACUCAUGGACACAGGUCUGAAGAUGGACAUCAACAUGUUGAGAUGAGAGAUUUUUGAAGCUGAAAUGUUGGUUGUAAUAAGCCUGAUUUGAAACGAUGCUGUAGCUUCUUGAACGUCCACUAAUGCACAAACCUACAGUGACCUCAUGUACACACAGCAUGUAAACUCUAAACAACUUGGGUGAUUAAAUCUCGUAACUGUUAGACUGAUAAAUGACUGUCUUGGUGCACAACAAAGGUGGAAUACCAAGUAUAGAAGAUAUAAAGAUUUAUACAAAUGUGUGUUACAAGAUCUCUACAGUUCUGUGUAGUAAGUAGUGUGAAUAUCUUCAAAUGUUCAGGAUAUUUUGAUGCACUCAAAGUGAUAAAGGUGUGUAGUGUAACACAUGGCGCCAGUAGACUGUUAUUGUAACCUGGUGAGGGUCAGUGUACACUUAAAAAUAAAGGUCUGAGUUAUAACCUAAA
Long non-coding RNA from Larimichthys crocea (large yellow croaker), 1067 nucleotides. RefSeq lists it as uncharacterized. The transcript has 9 exons. The record is from RefSeq and is a predicted model, not a curated record. NCBI's taxonomy places the organism in Eukaryota, Metazoa, Chordata, Actinopteri, Sciaenidae.